UUGAUAUUUAUUCUCACAAUUAGAGUUACAAACAAAUAACUUUGUUGGAAUACAUUAUGAUUAAUAAAGUUGUGACAUUUUCUUGUCAUGUCACCUCUUAAAUAAUCAUGAAAUAACUUUGUUCCAGUAAUAUAUAUAAUUUCUAUUAAUAUUUAUUUUCACUCCCGAUGUAUUUCUUAAAAUAUUUACCCCUUAAAAAACAGUUUUCCAAUACAAUAUUACAACUCUAAAUUUGUAAAUUGUAGUCUUUUUAAUCUUUUCUGAUAAUAAUUUUUUUUACAGUGAGUUUUUGUCAUAUUGAUACAUUAAAAAAAAAAAAAUGUAUUAAUGACGUUAUGACAUUUUAAUAUCUGGUCAUCAUUCUCAGUUUUAAAAAGUUUCUGGUAAUGUCAUCACUUAAAAACAAUCAUAAUAUAUCCCAACAAAUAACUUUUUGGGGAUAUAUUAUGAUUAAAUUAUGACAUUUUCUUGUCAUGUCACCUCAAAAAAUCAUUAAAAAAACGUUCCAGGAACUAAAAAUUUUAAUAAUUAUGAUAUGGAAAUUAGCUUUUUUUGUGUGUUUGGAUGAAGACGUUGACAGACGUGUGUUCUCUCUCAGAAAAUGUCACUUUUAUGGAGCUCUUGAGUCCCAUUUGGCUUCCGGCGGCCCUCGAAGAGAAGAAAGUCAGCUAAAUCUCUCAUUGACUCAAAUGUUUGAUGUCGGCGCCCCCCAAAAAAAAUAAAACACAAAAAUUUGUACUUUCCUACUCGCUCUAACUCGGCCGUUUCUCUACUUAUCCGAAAUCUGAGCACACUGGAACGUUCCUCCAAGCCUCGGGGGCGGUCCACCCGACCAGGAGCAGGCCCAUAAAAAUUUCCUAGCAUCCCAUUAACCCUUCAAAAUAUCAAAGCUAUUUUAUUGUAAUUCAACGUUACUUCCACUAAUCCAAAUCGUAUAUCUUUAAAAGAAUAAGUAUUUGUGUGUGUAAAUGUUGUUUGUCUAUCUGUUUUGGCCCUGCGAUAAGGUGGUGACUUGUCCAGGGUGUACACCGCCUUCUACCCCAUUGAACCUGAGCGACCCAGAAUGGGAUAUGCGGUAGAAAAUGGAUGGAUAAAUAUUUGUAUCAUGUCGGUUUUAGAUUAACCAAAUGUGAAAUUUGCCAGGUGUGCAUUUCCAGCGAUAUCCACGGGGGGGCGCUGAACAGUCCAUUUAGGAGCACUUCCUGUAGUAAUCCAUACAUCUAUCAUUUCUGUUUGAGCCCCAAAAAGGAAAUGUAGAACAGGGGUCACCAACCUUUUUGAAACCAAGAGCUACUUCUUGGGUACUGAUUAAUGCGAAGGGCAACCAGUUUGAUACACACUUAAAUAAAUUGCCAGAAAUAGCCAAUUUGCUCAAUUUACCUUUAAUAAAUAAAUCUAUAUUUCUAAAAAAAAAUGGGUAUUUCUGUCCGUCAUUCCGUCUUACAUUUUUUUUCCUUUUACGGAAAGUUUUUUGUAGAGAAUAAAUGAUGAAAAAGACUCUUAAUUGAAUGGUUUAAAAGAGGAGGAAACACGAAAAAAAUGAUAAUUAAACUUUGAAACAUAGUUUAUCUUCAAUUUCGACUCUUUAAAAUUAAAUAUUCAACCGAAAAAAAUGAAGAGAAAAACUAGCUCAUUCGAAUCUUUUUGAAAAAAUAAAAAAAAAAAUUUAUGGAACAUCAUUAGUAAUUUUUCCUGAUUAAGAUUAAUUUUAGAAUUUUGAUGACAUGUUUUAAAUAGGUUAAAAUCCAAUCUGCACUUUGUUAGAAUUUAUAACAAAUUGGACCAAGCUAUAUUUCUAACAAAGACAAAUCAUUAAUUCUUCUGGAUAUUCCAGAACAAAAAUUUUAAAAGAAAUUAAAAAGACUUUGAAAUAAGAUUUAAAUUUAAUCCAACAGAUUUUCUAUAUUUGGCCGAAAUAUUUUUUAAAAAUUUUAAUCAUAAGUUUGAAGAAAUAAUAAUAGAAAAAACGGAAGGUAAAAUGAAGAAUUAAAUUAAAAUGUAUUUAUUCUUUAAAAUAAAAAAAAUUACUUUAACAUUGAUUUAAAUUGUCAGGAAAAAAGAGGAAGGACCUUGUUGAAUGUGUUUAAAAAUCCUAAAAUUAUUUUAAGGUUGUAUUUUUUUCUCUAAAAUUGUCUUUCUGAAAGUUAUAAGAAGCAAAGUAAAAAAAUAAAUGAAUUUAUUCAAACAAGUGAAGACCAAGUCUUUAAAAUAUUUUCUUGGAUUUUCAAAUUCUAUUUGAGUGGUGUCUCUUAGAAUUAAAAAUGUCGAGCAAAGCGAGACCAGCUUGCUAGUAAAUAAAAAAAACAAAUUAAAAAUAGAGGCAGCUCACUGGUAAGUGCUGCUAUUUGAGCUAUUUUUAGAACAGGCCAGCGGGUGACUCAUCUGGCUACCUGGUGCCUGCGGGCACCGCGUUGGUGACCCCUGCUGUAGAUGAUGUGCAUGUAUGUCGUCAUGUAUGGUGUGGGCUCAUGCGUGAUGUAGUGGUCGCUUAGGAAAAAUGUCACCCGGCAAAAGGCACCGGCGGGAAAAUAGUGUCAUGGAAGUUGUCUCGGGUGUGACCGCCAACGUCGGUGUAGGGCAGGGGUGGACAAGCCAAAACGUCGAAAGAUAUCCAUGUUGGAGCAAAAAUACAAAAAACGAAUCUGUCUGUAGACGCAAAAAAUGAAAAGUCUUAUAUAAGUGUUAUAAUGAAGACAACACAUGAUGUAAUGUUCAUAUUAGCCUACUAUCAAAAUGACUUUAAAGGCCUACUGAAACCCACCAUGCAGUCUGAUAGUUUAUAUAUCAAUGAUGAGAUAUUAACAUUGCAACACAUGCCAAUACGGCCUUUUUAGUUUACUAAAUUACAAUUUUAAAUUUCACGCGGAGUUUUUUGUUGAAAACGUCGCGGAAAGAUGACGUGUACGCGUGACGUCACGGACUGUCAGGAAAUAUUAGCGCAGCACUAUUUGCGUCUAAAAGUCAUCUGCUUUAAUCGCAUAAUUACACAGUAUUCUGGACUUCUGUGUUGCUGAAUCUUUUGCAAUUUGCUAUAUUAAUAAUGGAGAAGUCAAAGUAGAAAGAUGGAGGUGGGAUGCUUUUAGCCUUUAGCCACACAAACACACGGUGAUUCCUUGUUUAAAAUUCCCGGAGGUGAAGCUUUACUAUGGAUCAGAGCGGUCAAGCGAACAUGGAUCCCGACCACAUGUUAACCAGCAGGUUUCGGUGAGAAAAUUGUGCUAAAAGGUGGUUUCUUACCGGAGAUCUCUCGACUUGGCGGCGUCCUUGUAUCUGCCGUGACUUCCCUCAGAGACUGGCGUCAAGACACCCGUGGACACACCCCUCCGACUAUCAGGUCUUGCUGCUGGAGGCUCCCAUUAAAAACAAUGUGAGGACGUGAGGAGCCCUCACACUUGUGACGUCAUCGUCUGCGACUUCCGGUACAGGCAAGGCUUUUUUAUCAGCACCAAAAGUUGCGAACUUUAUCGUCGAUGUUCUCUACUAAAUCCUUUCAGCAAAAAUAUGGCAAUAUCGCGAAAUGAUCGAGGCUGACACAUAGAAUGGACCUGCUAUCCCCGUUUGAAUAGGAAAAUCUCAUUUCAGUAGGCCUUUAAAAUUCUUAUAUAAGUGUUUUAAUUAAGGUAAUGAUGUGUCUAUAUUAGUUAUAUUAGCCUACUAUCAAAAUUACUUUAAAAGCCUUAUAUAAGUGUUAUAAUGAAGACAACACAUGAUGUAAGUGUCUAUAUUAGCCUACUAUCAAAAUGACUUUAAAAGUCUUAUAUAAGUGUUAUAAUAAAGACAACACAUGAUGUGUCUAUAUUAGCCUACUAUCAAAAUUAUUUUAAAAAUCUUAUAUGUGUUAUAAUAAAGACAACACAUGAUGUAAGUGUCUAUAUUAGCCUACUAUCAAAAUUAUUUCAUAAGUAUUGUAUAAGUGUUAUAAUGAAGACAACACAUGAUUGCAACUUUUAUUAGUAGAUUGCACAGUACAGUACAUGUUCCAUACAAUUGACCACUGAGAGGUAACACCCCAAAAAGUUUUUCAACUUGUUUAAGUCGGGGUCUACGUUAAUCAAUUCCUGGUACAAAUAUAUUCUAUCAGCAUAAUACAGUCGUCACACAAGUUCAUCAUCAGAGUAUAUACUUUACAUUAUUUUCAUUAUUUACAAUCCGGUGGUUGAAAUCAACACUUCAGUCAUCAACAAUUGUAUCAUCUGAGAAAUGGACAUUGAAACAGUGUAGAAUCACACACAUUUUAGUGGAUUAAAAAAAACAAAAACGUCAUUGUUCAAAAAUGUUAUGAAUUAUUGACAUAUUUAGGGUUCCAAUUACUUCACAUCAAAUAUAAUUACCAUUUUCUGUGGUUUUGUCAUAUGAAAAAAACUUUUUUUUUGCCAUGAAGGGAGUAAAACAAUUGAUGGAUACACUUGAAGUUAAUACCUAGAUAUAAGCGUCGGAAGUAAACAAAAAAAAAAGUAUGACUUAUUUUUAAAACUUUUAUGAGUGGAACCCUUUUGGAUCCUCAAUUGUUUAAACUCAUUGUUCAAAUGAUAACAAAUCAAAAUCAAUGUUAUGAAAUAUUGACAUAUUUAAGGUUCCAAUUACUUAACAUCCAAUAUUACACUUUGAAAUAUUUUUGGGGGAAAAUAUUGCUUAUUUUGUGUUUUUGCCAAAAAGGGCCUGAAACAAACAAAAACUUAUAGACUGAUAGAUCUGAAAUUGAUAUGCAGGUUUAAGCAUUUAAAUAAAAUCAAUAUAUGACUUAUUUUUAACACUUUUAUGAGUCGGACCCUUUUGGAUCCCCAAUCAUUUUAGUUGGACUGUUUUAAAACU
Nerophis ophidion (straightnose pipefish) is the source of this 4812-nucleotide long non-coding RNA. RefSeq lists it as uncharacterized. The record is from RefSeq and is a predicted model, not a curated record. Lineage: Eukaryota; Metazoa; Chordata; Actinopteri; Syngnathiformes; Syngnathidae. The transcript is spliced from 2 exons.